RNAcentral lists this ribosomal RNA (451 nucleotides) under uncultured bacterium. RNAcentral's name for it is "bacterial SSU rRNA". It matches the Rfam family "Bacterial small subunit ribosomal RNA", at positions 355 to 799 of the family's 1533-position model. The record is from RNAcentral.
UGGGGAAUAUUGGACAAUGGGCGCAAGCCUGAUCCAGCCACGCCGCGUGAGUGAUGAAGGCCUUCGGGUCGUAAAGCUCUGUGGGGAGAGACGAACCGCCAUUGGUGCAUAGCCAGUGGCAUGACGGUAUCUCCUUAGCAAGCACCGGCUAACUUCGUGCCAGCAGCCGCGGUAAUACGAAGGGUGCAAACGUUGCUCGGAAUCAUUGGGCGUAAAGCGCAUGUAGGCGGUCUAUCAAGUUGGAUGUGAAAUCCCUCGGCUUAACCAAGGAAGUGCAUCCAAAACUGACAGACUUGAGUACCAAAGAGGAUCGCAGAAUUCCCGGUGUAGAGGUGAAAUUCGUAGAUAUCGGGAGGAAUACCGGUGGCGAAGGCGGCGAUCUGGGUGGAUACUGACGCUGAGAUGCGAAAGCGUGGGGAGCAAACAGGAUUAGAUACCCAAGUAGUCCCUG